UCAGCCGCCCCGAGGAGAUGCCACGCCGUGGACAGCGCGGCGCUGGUCGCCGUGAAGGCGGCCUUCAACAACGCCUCCUACUUCGCUUCCUGGACGCCGGACAUCCCGUGCUGUGCCUGGCCCGGCGUCGACUGCGAAGGCUCCACGGGCCGCGUCGUCAGCCUUGACAUCCUGCUGGACGAUGGCGUCGCCGGCCCCGUGCCCGGCCACGCCAUCGCAGGGCUCACCCGCCUGCGGAGCCUCGAGGUUUACAAGCUCCCCGGCGUGUCCGGCGCCAUCCCCGCGGCGCUCGCCAGGCUCUCGGGGCUGCUCGACCUCACCAUCUCGCAGAGCGGCGUCUCGGGCCCCGUGUCAUCCUUCCUUGCGCGCUCCCGGAGCUCCAGUCGCUGGAUCUCUCCGGCAACUCGCUCACGGGCGGGCUCCAUCCCGCCGUCGUUCUCCGCGGCCCCGCGCCUCGACGGCAUCUAUCUCAACGACAACCGCCUCGUACGUCGGCAGCGUCCCGCCGCUGCUCGAUCUUCCAGCGCCGGGCACCUGGCGUUCCUCGACCUCUCCCACAACAACCUGUCCGGCAGCAUCCCGGCCGACUUCUUGGCCGUGCGCUUCGUGCUGAUCGACCUGUCGUGCAACCGGCUCACCGGCGACGCCUCGGUGCUGUUCGGCCCCGGCCCCGGGAGCACGGAGCUGGUCAGCGUCAACCUGUGGCCCAACGCGUUCAGCUUCGACAUGUCCCGGGUGCACCUGACGGACCGGCUGGCCUCGCUCGACGUCAGCCACAACAGGAUGUACGGCCGCUCCCGGCGGGGCGCUGGUGGCGAAUCUGACCGACCUGCAGUCUUCGACGUUAGCUACAACCGGCUCUGCGGUGCGGUGCCGGACGGCGUGGCGGCGAGGUUCGAUGUCCACAGCUUCGAGCACAACAGAUGUCUCUGCGGUGCUCCGCUCCCGAAUCCAUGC
RNAcentral lists this ribosomal RNA (957 nucleotides) under Triticum aestivum (bread wheat). RNAcentral describes it as "partial small subunit ribosomal RNA". Lineage: Eukaryota; Viridiplantae; Streptophyta; Magnoliopsida; Poales; Poaceae. The record is from RNAcentral.